Molecule: unclassified non-coding RNA, 527 nt
Filed under: Hevea brasiliensis (rubber tree)
Lineage: Eukaryota; Viridiplantae; Streptophyta; Magnoliopsida; Malpighiales; Euphorbiaceae
Source: RNAcentral
UGAGGGAAGAAGAUGGGCAGAUAUCAUCAAGCCUGGAUGCGUUAACACGGAUCCAAUCUUCCCUAACAACAAGCUCACGGGGACAGAUGUUGGUUAUCCAGGAGGUUUAUGGUUUGAUCCCUUGGGUUGGGGUUCGGGUUCACCUGCAAAGAUAAAGGAGUUGAGGACAAAGGAGAUUAAGAACGGUAGACUUGCUAUGUUAGCCGUUAUGGGUGCAUGGUUCCAACACAUUUACACUGGAACAGGCCCUAUUGAUAACCUAUUUGCUCACCUAGCUGAUCCUGGUCAUGCCACUAUUUUUGCUGCAUUCAGUCCCAAGUGAGAAGCAGAAGCAGAACACCUUUUGUUGUAAUGAUGUGUAAAAGUAACAUUUGAAGUAGAUUUGUGCAAAGAAAAACUUUAAUGUUUCUUUUGCCACUCAAUGUAGUAUACCUACAUUUGGUUUGCCCUCCUGUAGAAAAAGACUCAGUGUACAAAUACCUUUGAGAAUUCGUGUCAGAUCAAAAAAAUCUAUUUAUAUAUGUUCG